Molecule: long non-coding RNA, 1102 nt
Organism: Anguilla rostrata (American eel)
Lineage: Eukaryota; Metazoa; Chordata; Actinopteri; Anguilliformes; Anguillidae
Exons: 4
Source: RefSeq, a predicted model, not a curated record
AAUUAUUGCUGACAUUUGGUACACUUCCUACAUGCCUGAUACUUUAAUAUUACUCAAUAUUAUUCAAAUUCCUUCAAAUCCAAGAGAAUGUUAUGCAUGCGUUAAUGCAAUGUUGUCAUAUUUAGCUAAAUGUUGACCAUCUUUGUUAAUUUCUGUAACAUAGGUGUGCAGAAAAAAGAAAAAGGAGACUUGAUGUGCGUUGGCCAGAGGUGCCAAACACAAGGCCAAUCUCCAACAUCAUCUCAGCAAAAGCAGGAUGCUGACGAGAUGGUACCUCUCUCUCCACCUGAGCAGAAUACAGCACACAGACAGGAGGUAUUUUCUGAAACAGAUGACGGUCUCAGUGAGGUGUAGAGGAUCCUUGUUGUCUACAUAAGUCUUUCAAGGCCAGAUUCUGCUGUCUGGUUUAGCAGUUCUCUUUUUGGAACUCAGUUUUGGAAUGUUCCUGCUCACUUAUACGAGAUUCGUCCAGAAUCUUUGAAAGAAUGCUGGAGAGAAGCCAGCAAACAGGACCAAGACAGCUGCUCGACAAGCAGGUUUCGGACAAAACACAUUUUGUCAUGGAUUACCAUCGACACUGUCCCACAUCGGGAGUUACAUCGGGAGUAACAGUGUUGACAAAGACCAGACAUAAUGAAAACUUUAUAUUAAAAAGUAUAUUCAAAAUUUAAAUUGUGUAUAUCAAAGGGGUGCUGAAGGUAAUUUAGGAUAUACUGGAGGAUUGUGCAAAUAAAAUGCAUCUUAAUGGCAACUGCACAAACAUCUGUACAGAACGUUCAGCAGAAUAGCUGAAACUCUUCUGUUUCACAGUCAGACAUAAUCAUAGCUGCAAUUUCAAUUUGUAAGCAGCUUGGCUAACAUUAGGCCUGCAGGAACAGGCAGUGUGGUAACAGUCAGACUUGCGCCUGAAUGACAGCAGCUCCCAGAAUGCACCGAGGCCUGUCAGACUCGCACCUAGAAGACUGCAGCUCCCAGCAUGCACCAAGGCCUGUCAGACUUGCACCUGAAGAACUGCAGCUCCCAGCAUGCACCGAGGCUCAGUCCAUUCUCAUCUCCCUUCAGUUCUAAUCCAUGAACAUAAAGGAGUGGCCUUUACAUGAAA